ACGCUGGCGGCGUGCCUAAUACAUGCAAGUCGAGCGAAUGGAUUGAGAGCUUGCUCUUAUGAAGUUAGCGGCGGACGGGUGAGUAACACGUGGGUAACCUGCCCAUAAGACUGGGAUAACUCCGGGAAACCGGGGCUAAUACCGGAUAACAUUUUGAACUGCAUGGUUCGAAAUUGAAAGGCGGCUUCGGCUGUCACUUAUGGAUGGACCCGCGUCGCAUUAGCUAGUUGGUGAGGUAACGGCUCACCAAGGCAACGAUGCGUACCCAACCUGAGAGGGUGAUCGGCCACACUGGGACUGAGACACGGCCCAAACUCCUACGGGAGGCAGCAGUAGGGAAUCUUCCGCAAUGGACAAAAGUCUGACGGAGCAACGCCGCGUGAGUGAUGAAGGCUUUCGGGUCGUAAAACUCUGUUGUUAGGGAAAAACAAGUGCUAGUUGAAUAAGCUGGCACCUUGACGGUACCUAACCAGAAAGCCACGGCUAACUACGUGCCAGCAGCCGCGGUAAUACGUAGGUGGCAAGCGUUAUCCGGAAUUAUUGGGCGUAAAGCGCGCGCAGGUGGUUUCUUAAGUCUGAUGUGAAAGCCCACGGCUCAACCGUGGAGGGUCAUUGGAAACUGGGAGACUUGAGUGCAGAAGAGGAAAGUGGAAUUCCAUGUGUAGCGGUGAAAUGCGUAGAGAUAUGGAGGAACACCAGUGGCGAAGGCGACUUUCUGGUCUGUAACUGACACUGAGGCGCGAAAGCGUGGGGAGCAAACAGGAUUAGAUACCCUGGUAGUCCACGCCGUAAACGAUGAGUGCUAAGUGUUAGAGGGUUUCCGCCCUUUAGUGCUGAAGUUAACGCAUUAAGCACUCCGCCUGGGGAGUACGGCCGCAAGGCUGAAACUCAAAGGAAUUGACGGGGGCCCGCACAAGCGGUGGAGCAUGUGGUUUAAUUCGAAGCAACGCGAAGAACCUUACCAGGUCUUGACAUCCUCUGAAAACCCUAGAGAUAGGGCUUCUCCUUCGGGAGCAGAGUGACAGGUGGUGCAUGGUUGUCGUCAGCUCGUGUCGUGAGAUGUUGGGUUAAGUCCCGCAACGAGCGCAACCCUUGAUCUUAGUUGCCAUCAUUAAGUUGGGCACUCUAAGGUGACUGCCGGUGACAAACCGGAGGAAGGUGGGGAUGACGUCAAAUCAUCAUGCCCCUUAUGACCUGGGCUACACACGUGCUACAAUGGACGGUACAAAGAGCUGCAAGACCGCGAGGUGGAGCUAAUCUCAUAAAACCGUUCUCAGUUCGGAUUGUAGGCUGCAACUCGCCUA
RNAcentral lists this ribosomal RNA (1304 nucleotides) under Bacillus sp. (in: firmicutes). RNAcentral describes it as "bacterial SSU rRNA". It matches the Rfam family "Bacterial small subunit ribosomal RNA", at positions 33 to 1318 of the family's 1533-position model. Lineage: Bacteria; Bacillati; Bacillota; Bacilli; Caryophanales; Bacillaceae. The record is from RNAcentral.